CCCAGACUCCUACGGGAGGCAGCAGUGGGGGAUAUUGCACAAUGGGGGGAACCCUGAUGCAGCGACGCCGCGUGGGUGAAGGAGCGUUUCGGCGCGUAAAGCCCUAUCGGCAGGGAAGAAGGAGGACGGUACCUGACUAAGAAGCCCCGGCUAACUACGUGCCAGCAGCCGCGGUAAUACGUAGGGGGCAAGCGUUAUCCGGAUUUACUGGGUGUAAAGGGGGCGCAGACGGCAGCGCAAGCCAGGAGUGAAAGCCCGGGGCCCAACCCCGGGACUGCUCUUGGAACUGCGCGGCUGGAGUGCAGGAGGGGCAGGCGGAAUUCCUGGUGUAGCGGUGAAAUGCGUAGAUAUCAGGAGGAACACCGGUGGCGAAGGCGGCCUGCUGGACGACAACUGACGGUGAGGCGCGAAAGCGUGGGGAGCAAACAGGAUUAGAUACCCCCGUACAA
This 449-nucleotide ribosomal RNA is filed under the name uncultured bacterium. Its description in RNAcentral is "partial 16S ribosomal RNA". It matches the Rfam family "Bacterial small subunit ribosomal RNA", at positions 330 to 794 of the family's 1533-position model. The record is from RNAcentral.